AUUGAACGCUGGCGGCAUGCCUUACACAUGCAAGUCGAACGGCAGCACGGGAGCAAUCCUGGUGGCGAGUGGCGAACGGGUGAGUAAAGUAUCGGAACGUGCCCAGUCGUGGGGGAUAACGUAGCGAAAGUUACGCUAAUACCGCAUACGAUCUAUGGAUGAAAGCGGGGGAUCGCAAGACCUCGCGCGAUUGGAGCGGCCGAUAUCAGAUUAGGUAGUUGGUGGGGUAAAGGCUCACCAAGCCGACGAUCUGUAGCUGGUCUGAGAGGACGACCAGCCACACUGGGACUGAGACACGGCCCAGACUCCUACGGGAGGCAGCAAUGGGGAAUUUUGGGCAAUGGGCGAAAGCCUGAUCCAGCCAUGCCGCAUGCAGGAUGAAGGCCUUCGGGUUGUAAACUGCUUUUGUACGGAACGAAAAGGUUUGGGCUAAUAAGCUGAGCUCAUGACGGUACCGUAAGAAUAAGCACCGGCUAACUACGUGCCAGCCGCCGCCGUAA
RNAcentral lists this ribosomal RNA (500 nucleotides) under uncultured bacterium. RNAcentral's name for it is "partial 16S ribosomal RNA". It matches the Rfam family "Bacterial small subunit ribosomal RNA", at positions 30 to 523 of the family's 1533-position model. The record is from RNAcentral.